GGGUCAAUGGUGUAGUGGCUAUCAUUCACGCUUCGGAUGCGUGAGGUCCCGGGUUCAAAUCCCGGUUGACCCC
Non-coding RNA from Dichotomocladium elegans, 73 nucleotides. The record is from the annotation of a GenBank genome assembly. Lineage: Eukaryota; Fungi; Mucoromycota; Mucoromycetes; Mucorales; Lichtheimiaceae.